RNAcentral lists this ribosomal RNA (3154 nucleotides) under Cladonia submitis. RNAcentral's name for it is "large subunit ribosomal RNA". The stretch from base 860 to 3154 matches the Rfam family "Bacterial large subunit ribosomal RNA". The record is from RNAcentral. Lineage: Eukaryota; Fungi; Ascomycota; Lecanoromycetes; Lecanorales; Cladoniaceae.
AACACCUUAGUGUCUAUUUAUAGGCAAGGUGCGCAGUUCAUCGACUAAAAGUUGGUUGGCGAAAGCUUAAGAUAUAGUCAAACCUCAUCUGAAAGGAUGCAGAACAGCUUAGUAUUAAAAAAAUUAUGGAGAUACUUAAAUCAUUGCUACAUGCUUCGGUAUAAUCUUUGGCCUUUAAUUAUUAACCAUAUUAGGUUUAUAAAGCAGGAUAAAUAAUGGUGACAAUAUAAUAAAUAAUCAUGACAAUAAAAAACUAUGAAAAAAUUAAAAAUUAUAGUGAGCAACUUAAUAAAAGCAUUAGCCGGGUUUUGCAUUUUUAACUAGCAUACUAUAGUAACAUAUGUAUAUGAGUUUAUAGUUAUAGUGUGCUUGGUAGUUUAUUUAUUGAGUCUUUGAGAUGACAUUUUAAGUCAUAUAUGAAACCCUAAGUGAUUGUAAUGACAAUAUACCUUUUCCAGUACAAAGGUAAGAAGAAUUAAAAAUAUUACAGGAUGAAGUAUGACAAAAUAACGAUUAAUCUCUAAGGGUAAAAAGGAGUAAUUUACUUUAGUUUAUCAUUAUUUAUUUUAAAUAUAGUGUAACAAACAAAUGUCUUUUAAUACGAAGUUAGUUCUAAAUAGAUGAUUACAUAUCAUUUAGGGAGAAGGACCUCAGCUUUGCCUGUUUAAUGGCUAAAGAGGUAGAUUUGUUUCUGCGAAACCUAUAUAAGUAGGUAAUUUAAAUAGAAUAUCAGAAGGUACAGAAUUGUGAUCUCAUGCAACCAGUAUUUAUUUUUAUAUUAAUCAAAAAAAUAACAGCUUGUUUGUGUGCUUAUAUUAGGUUAUGCUACGUAAGUAUUCAUGCAUGUAUGCCUUUUUUAGGGUAAUUUAUAAUAUAUAUAAAAAUAUACUUUUUGUGGACAUUGGGGGGUCGUGAAGACUCUAUCAGUGAGUAUUUGUUCUCGGAAGGACUAGAUAUGUAUAUUGAAUAAUCGGACAUAGUACGAUAAGGUUGUAUGUCUAAAGGGAAAUAGCCCAGAACAAGAGUUAAUAAGGUUCCAAAAUUUUUGUUAAGUGAAAUUAAGGCAGUAUUUAUCCCAAUCGGCCAGGGAAUAGGCUUAGAAGCGGCCAUUUUUUGAAGACCUCGUAACAGAGCACUGGUUUUUUAUUUUAUGGAUAAAAGCACCGAAAAUUUAACGGAUCUAAACAAAAUACCGAUACCUUGUCCAUAUAUAUUAAUGUGUAUAUUAUAUAUUGUAUAUGUGGGGUAGCGGAACAUUGGGUAGCCAUUUUUAAUCCUUUAUAAGGAUUAAUUCGCCUAGAGUUUAAGUUGUUAUUCUCUGGACUAAAUAAGCCCAAGUGAUAAUGCUGACAUGAGUAACGAUAAAGGAUCAAUAGUACAUAAAAGGUCGAAGAAUCCUCGCCUAAAGCUUAUGGAAUUUAUUAAAGUUACGGCCUCUAAGUUUAUUUUUUUUUUUUAGCUUCCGAUUAUUUAUAUAUAGUAUAUAUUUAACAUCUACAUCUAAAUAGUCGAGAGUUAUGACGAAUUACCUAAUGGUAUAAACGAUGAGAAAACCUAGAGCUUACAGUAAUUAACGUUUUUUAUUUACGUAGUAACUGAAACUCCGCUUUUCCCCUUGAAUUAUUGUUUUAAUAAUCUAUUCUUAAAGGGAAAACGAAACCUGUUUACUAAUAUUUUAAGUAAAUUAAGUGAAAAAUGUUCUGGAAAACUGUAGGCUCCGUAAGUAAUAUAAAAAAAGUAAAACAAAAUAUAUUGUAAGCUUACGCUAUAAUACCGUACCUAAAUACUAACACAAGUGAGCAAGUAGAGAAUACGAAGGCGUUCGAGCUAACAAUCAUUAAGGAACUCGGCAAAUUGACUCUCGUAACUUCGGGAUAAGGUGGACCAUUUCUUCUGAUUAAUAUCAGGCAAGAAAGAGGAGGCAUAGAAUGGUGUUGUACGACUGUUUAAUUAAAACAAAGCACGCUGCGAAGAAAUAAAUUCGAAGUAUUGAGUGUGAUCUCUGCCCGAUGGCGGCUGGUUAACUAAUUUGCUUAGUUAAAUCAAAUAAGCUAGGCUUUGAUGGAAACCCCGUUCAAUGGCGGCCUUACCUAUAAGGGUCCUAAGGUAGCGUAAUACCUUGGCCGUUAAAUGCGGUCUUGCAUGAAUGAUGUAACGAUACAACAGCUGUCUCUAUGAUUGGCUCGGUGAAAUUGGAAUAACUGUGCAGAUACAGUUUACCUUUAGUUGGACGAGAAGACCCUAUGCAGCUUUACUGUUGCUAGUUACUGAGUAUGAUAUAAUGAGUUGUAGGGUAUAAGGUAAUUAAGAUAGAAUUGAAACACCUUUACUUCAUUUAUCAUAUUAUAUAAACCUUACAAGCAAAUUGCCAGUAAAGUCAAUAAAUAUGAUUACUGGUUGUAAGAAUUGAUAGGAACAAUUGCUAGGUGGCAGUUUAUGCGGGGCACAGAUCCCAUAAAGAGUACCUGGGAGUAUCCAAAUUUACUUAUCAAGUUUAACGGCUUAAUCUUGCUUUACUGUUUGACUUACAUGUCUUUCAGUUGCGUAAGCGGGGCAUAUGAUCACAAGAUGCAGAAAGGAAAGGUCUUGGAUUAUUGAAAAAGUUACGCUAGGGAUAACAGGCUAAUCCCGCCAGAGAGUUCAAAUUGAGUGCGGGGUUUGGCACCUCGAUGUCGGCUUAGCUCAUCCACAUGAAUGUAGGAGUCAUGAAGGGUCCGACUGUUCGUCGAUUAAAGAGCUACACGAGCUGGGUUAAAUACGUUGUAAGACAGUAUGGUUUCUAUCCUCUAGAGGAAGUUGGAAUAAAUUAAGGAUAGCCCCUUGUACGAGAGGAAUUGGGUAUAUUAACCUAUGGUUUACCUGUUGUUUGUUUUGCCAUAUUAUUGUAACUGAUAGAGAUAUUGUCUCCAUUUUGUUAUAGCCCCUGAGUUUAUAACCAAGAACGCAAUAUUCUGGGUGUCAUGGCUUAUGCUGGUAAUUACUUUUCACUAAAGUAAUACUUAAUUAGGCAGAGUAUAAACUGGAAUACUUGAUACUGUCUAAUUAAAAGGCACGGCAGGAAAGCUACGUUAGUUAAUGAUAAGUGCUGAAUGCAUAUAGGCACGAAACAUACCUUAGGAUAUUCUCAUAUAUACGUAGUUUAAUACUACAAUUU